RNAcentral lists this ribosomal RNA (207 nucleotides) under uncultured bacterium. RNAcentral's name for it is "partial 16S ribosomal RNA". It matches the Rfam family "Bacterial small subunit ribosomal RNA", at positions 568 to 774 of the family's 1533-position model. The record is from RNAcentral.
CGUGUAGGCGGGUCGGCAAGUCAGGCGUGAAAUCCCCAGGCUCAACCUGGGAACUGCGCUUGAAACUGCCGGUCUUGAGUAUCGGAGAGGGUGGCGGAAUUCCUGGUGUAGAGGUGAAAUUCGUAGAUAUCAGGAGGAACACCGGUGGCGAAGGCGGCCACCUGGACGAUUACUGACGCUGAGACGCGAAAGCGUGGGGAGCAAACA